Molecule: ribosomal RNA, 495 nt
Filed under: uncultured bacterium
Lineage: Bacteria
Description: partial 16S ribosomal RNA
Rfam family: Bacterial small subunit ribosomal RNA
Source: RNAcentral
GACGAACGCUGGCGGCGUGCCUAAUACAUGCAAGUAGAACGCUGAAGGAGGAGCUUGCUUCUCUGGAUGAGUUGCGAACGGGUGAGUAACGCGUAGGUAACCUGCCUGGUAGCGGGGGAUAACUAUUGGAAACGAUAGCUAAUACCGCAUAACAGUAGAUAUCGCAUGAUAUCUACUUGAAAGGUGCAAUUGCAUCACUACCAGAUGGACCUGCGUUGUAUUAGCUAGUUGGUGAGGUAACGGCUCACCAAGGCGACGAUACAUAGCCGACCUGAGAGGGUGAUCGGCCACACUGGGACUGAGACACGGCCCAGACUCCUACGGGAGGCAGCAGUAGGGAAUCUUCGGCAAUGGACGGAAGUCUGACCGAGCAACGCCGCGUGAGUGAAGAAGGUUUUCGGAUCGUAAAGCUCUGUUGUAAGAGAAGAACAAGUGUGAGAGUGGAAAGUUCACACUGUGACGGUAUCUUACCAGAAAGGGACGGCUAACUACGUG